Juglans microcarpa x Juglans regia is the source of this 934-nucleotide long non-coding RNA. RefSeq lists it as uncharacterized. The record is from RefSeq and is a predicted model, not a curated record. The transcript has 5 exons. NCBI's taxonomy places the organism in Eukaryota, Viridiplantae, Streptophyta, Magnoliopsida, Fagales, Juglandaceae.
GGACUGCCUUGCACCACCUAGGGUUUCUCAAUCGAUUUUUAAUCGUGAGCAAGAGUGAGAGAAUCUAUAGCAAUGGCGAGGUACACGAAUCGUACCAGAAGCUACAGCCCUCGCCGGUGGAGCAGAAUCCCGCCACUCUGUCGCAAGCAAUACGAAGAUGAGCAUCGCGAUCACUAUCGCGAAGGCAGUUCCUACAGAGACCGUCCCUCCCCUGUUCCUUCUAGUUUGCUGGUCCGCAAUCUCCCCAUUGACUGAAAUAUCUCCUAUUAAAGAAUGAAAUUUUUGAGAUUUUGUACUACGAUGUGCAUGAUAGAAGAUCUUAGGAUUCCAUCUGAGUGAUAUGUUCCGGUGAAAGAUGUUUAUCUGCCAAAGAACUACUAUGCCGGUGUGGUGGUGUGUUGUGUUGUCAGGCCGACUGAUGGGAGGAGGUGAGGUGUGCCCUUGUCCCCAAACGAGACUGUCUGCAGCUGCAUUUCUCUCACGUUUUCACAAAAUGCAAGACAUAAUUAGCCAAACCCUCAAAACCCAACCCAUCUUCUCUUCACUACCACUGUUGUCCCCAUUGCUACUACUGCGGCUCCCACCGAUGAUGCCGUUGUCAUCGUUGUUGAUGUUGACAUUGUUACUGCCUCUUAUGGAGCACUAGAUUUUCUCCACCGAAUUUUCCUAUCGAUUUUCCCUUCAUCUUGAAGAUCCCUACAGAUGAGUUUUUGCUUAAUCUCCCCAAAUGUUGCCCACCAAUUGUUUUUUGCAAUGGGUGUGUGCAGGGAUCAUCAAAACUAGGUACAAUUGGGAAAAUCUCUAUUGAUUUUGCAGACUAUGCUGAGGCGACCAAGCUCUCGUCUGCCUCUCUUCCCCUUAAGAAUUCAAACUUGAAUGCGGUUUUGCAUGUUUUGAUUCAGAGGCUGUAGGCGGAUUCCAAUCAAAGAUAUAA